UAAGGCCCUUUUCUCUUGUUGAGUGCAAAUGGAGAACAGCUGCUCACACUCAUCGUCCGACGUCAGCUAUUUCUCAGGAUGACCCUGUGAGACAGGCCAGGGUCAUUAGACUCAAUUUGGUGCUCAGCAAAUAUGUGUUUAUUCCUGCAUGCGUGGGCCACAGGCUGGUUUGUUGGGUGCAAUGAAUAGCUGCAGGUUUAUUAGGGUGUCUCUUUAGAUGGAUGUAUGUCUCCCAGUGUCUGUAGAACACUCCGGACCCCGGAGAGUGAAAACCCUGCCUGUCGGACUUGCUUUGAGAAGGUCCUUCUCCAACUCCCCACAGCAGAAGUUGCUUCACAGAGGGGAACAGUUUUAUGGAGGUGACUGAGACCUUAAGCUUGAGGCCACCCAUCUGAGGUGGCAUCCAGAGGAGACUGGCUGGCCCCUCCUUCGCCUUGGAUGUAGCACUGUUUCUAGGAUCUCUUUUCAAUCAACAAGACAGGGGAUGUUCCAUGAGGGUGCGUGGAUUCCCUGCCAUCCCACAUGGUCAAGUGGAAGGGACGGGAAAAAAGCCAUGAAGGGUUUGUGACCACACAGAGACUCUCCUGGCCGCCUGUGCUUUCGGAAAGAAGACCAGAGAUGAAAUAUAAUCAAGCGAUUAACCACCCCUAUCAUCACCAAGAACAACAGUAUCAACAACAAGAACAGGGACAACAAAACCCAUGGGUGAAACAUUCCUUUCUCAUUCAGAUCUUAUCUGGCGCGCUCUCUCUGUCUCGGUCUGUGGUUUAGAGAAACAUGGGCAACGCUGUUUGGAAGAACAGGGCUUCCUAGGAAUCAAUAAUGCCCAUGAAGGAAGGGAUUGUAGAAAUAGCUUAACACUUUCAUUUACUAACGUGGAAAUUGAAGCCCAGGGAAGGGAAGGGACUGGCUGUGGAAGAGAGAGCCAUCAGCAGAAAGACACCCUGAAAUCUUCCUGUGUGAUUCCCAGGAAGUCCAGCCUCAGCUGAUUCAUAGAACAAAUGCAUGCAAACCUUGCUAUCUAUAAACUACACAUGCACUUACAUAAAACACA
Long non-coding RNA from Mandrillus leucophaeus (drill), 1054 nucleotides. RefSeq lists it as uncharacterized. Lineage: Eukaryota; Metazoa; Chordata; Mammalia; Primates; Cercopithecidae. The transcript is spliced from 2 exons. The record is from RefSeq and is a predicted model, not a curated record.